UGGGGAAUUUUCCGCAAUGGGCGCAAGCCUGACGGAGCAAGACCGCGUGAGGGAAGAAGGCUCUUGGGUCGUAAACCUCUUUUCUCAAGGAAGAAACCUGACGGUACUUGAGGAAGAAGCCUCGGCUAACUCCGUGCCAGCAGCCGCGGUAAUACGGAGGAGGCAAGCGUUAUCCGGAAUUAUUGGGCGUAAAGCGUCCGUAGGUGGCUAGUCAAGUCUGCGGUCAAAGACUGGAGCUCAACUCCAGGAAGGCCGUGGAAACUGAAGAGCUAGAGUCCGGUAGGGGUAGAGGGAAUUCCCAGUGUAGCGGUGAAAUGCGUAGAGAUUGGGAAGAACACCGGUGGCGAAAGCGCUCUGCUGGACCGGAACUGACACUGAGGGACGAAAGCUAGGGGAGCGAAUGGGAUUAGAUACCCCCGUAGUCC
RNAcentral lists this ribosomal RNA (425 nucleotides) under uncultured prokaryote. RNAcentral's name for it is "bacterial SSU rRNA". It matches the Rfam family "Bacterial small subunit ribosomal RNA", at positions 355 to 796 of the family's 1533-position model. The record is from RNAcentral.